RNAcentral lists this ribosomal RNA (1429 nucleotides) under uncultured organism. Its description in RNAcentral is "SSU rRNA". It matches the Rfam family "Bacterial small subunit ribosomal RNA". The record is from RNAcentral.
GGAACGCUAGCUACAGGCUUAACACAUGCAAGUCCAUGGGCAGCAUGGUCUUAGCUUGCUAAGGCCGAUGGCGACCGGCGCACGGGUGAGUAACACGUAUCCAACCUGCCGUCUACUCUUGGACAGCCUUCUGAAAGGAAGAUUAAUACAAGAUGGCAUCAUGAGUCCGCAUGUUCACAUGAUUAAAGGUAUUCCGGUAGACGAUGGGGAUGCGUUCCAUUAGAUAGUAGGCGGGGUAACGGCCCACCUAGUCUUCGAUGGAUAGGGGUUCUGAGAGGAAGGUCCCCCACAUUGGAACUGAGACACGGUCCAAACUCCUACGGGAGGCAGCAGUGAGGAAUAUUGGUCAAUGGGCGAGAGCCUGAACCAGCCAAGUAGCGUGAAGGAUGACUGCCCUAUGGGUUGUAAACUUCUUUUAUAAAGGAAUAAAGUCGGGUAUGGAUACCCGUUUGCAUGUACUUUAUGAAUAAGGAUCGGCUAACUCCGUGCCAGCAGCCGCGGUAAUACGGAGGAUCCGAGCGUUAUCCGGAUUUAUUGGGUUUAAAGGGAGCGUAGAUGGAUGUUUAAGUCAGUUGUGAAAGUUUGCGGCUCAACCGUAAAAUUGCAGUUGAUACUGGAUAUCUUGAGUGCAGUUGAGGCAGGCGGAAUUCGUGGUGUAGCGGUGAAAUGCUUAGAUAUCACGAAGAACUCCGAUUGCGAAGGCAGCCUGCUAAGCUGCAACUGACAUUGAGGCUCGAAAGUGUGGGUAUCAAACAGGAUUAGAUACCCUGGUAGUCCACACGGUAAACGAUGAAUACUCGCUGUUUGCGAUAUACUGCAAGCGGCCAAGCGAAAGCGUUAAGUAUUCCACCUGGGGAGUACGCCGGCAACGGUGAAACUCAAAGGAAUUGACGGGGGCCCGCACAAGCGGAGGAACAUGUGGUUUAAUUCGAUGAUACGCGAGGAACCUUACCCGGGCUUAAAUUGCAGAUGAAUUACGGUGAAAGCCGUAAGCCGCAAGGCAUCUGUGAAGGUGCUGCAUGGUUGUCGUCAGCUCGUGCCGUGAGGUGUCGGCUUAAGUGCCAUAACGAGCGCAACCCUUGUUGUCAGUUACUAACAGGUUCCGCUGAGGACUCUGACAAGACUGCCAUCGUAAGAUGUGAGGAAGGUGGGGAUGACGUCAAAUCAGCACGGCCCUUACGUCCGGGGCUACACACGUGUUACAAUGGGGGGUACAGAGGGCCGCUACCACGCGAGUGGAUGCCAAUCCCCAAAACCUCUCUCAGUUCGGACUGGAGUCUGCAACCCGACUCCACGAAGCUGGAUUCGCUAGUAAUCGCGCAUCAGCCACGGCGCGGUGAAUACGUUCCCGGGCCUUGUACACACCGCCCGUCAAGCCAUGGGAGCCGGGGGUACCUGAAGUGCGUAACCGCGAGGAGCGCCCUAGGGU